UGUAGUCUGGUCUCAUUGUCGUCAC
This 25-nucleotide non-coding RNA is filed under the name Mus musculus (house mouse). The record is from RNAcentral. Lineage: Eukaryota; Metazoa; Chordata; Mammalia; Rodentia; Muridae.